UUACGGUCAUAACACGUUGAAAUACCAGUUCUCCUACGAUCAUCAAAGUUAAGCAAAAUAGAGCCUGGUCAUUACCUAGAUGGGUGACCCCCUUGAGAAUACCAAGUACUGUAAG
This is a non-coding RNA of Acanthosepion pharaonis, 115 nucleotides long. NCBI's taxonomy places the organism in Eukaryota, Metazoa, Mollusca, Cephalopoda, Sepiida, Sepiidae. The record is from the annotation of a GenBank genome assembly.